AGAGUUUGAUCCUGGCUCAGGAUGAACGCUGGCGGCGUGCUUAACACAUGCAAGUCGAACGAACCUUCGGGUUAGUGGCGGACGGGUGAGUAACGCGUGAGAAUCUGCCCUCAGGAGGGGGAUAACGGUUGGAAACGACCGCUAAUACCCCAUAUGCCGAGAGGUGAAAUGAAUUUCGCCUGAGGAUGAGCUCGCGUCUGAUUAGCUAGUUGGUGUGGUAAUGGCUCACCAAGGCUUCGAUCAGUAGCUGGUCUGAGAGGAUGAUCAGCCACACUGGGACUGAGACACGGCCCAGACUCCUACGGGAGGCAGCAGUGGGGAAUUUUCCGCAAUGGGCGAAAGCCUGACGGAGCAACGCCGCGUGAGGGAUGAAGGCCUCUGGGCUGUAAACCUCUUUUAUCAAGGAAGAAGAUCUGACGGUACUUGAUGAAUAAGCCACGGCUAAUUCCGUGCCAGCAGCCGCGGUAAUACGGGAGUGGCAAGCGUUAUCCGGAAUUAUUGGGCGUAAGCGUCCGCAGGCGGUCUUGUAAGUCUGUCGUUAAAGCGUGGAGCUUAACUCCAUUUCGGCGGUGGAAACUACAAGACUAGAGUGUGGUAGGGGCAGAGGGAAUUCCCGGUGUAGCGGUGAAAUGCGUAGAUAUCGGGAAGAACACCAGUGGCGAAGGCGCUCUGCUGGGCCAUAACUGACGCUCAUGGACGAAAGCCAGGGGAGCGAAAGGGAUUAGAUACCCCUGUAGUCCUGGCCGUAAACGAUGAACACUAGGUGUCGGGGGAAUCGACCCCCUCGGUGUCGUAGCCAACGCGUUAAGUGUUCCGCCUGGGGAGUACGCACGCAAGUGUGAAACUCAAAGGAAUUGACGGGGGCCCGCACAAGCGGUGGAGUAUGUGGUUUAAUUCGAUGCAACGCGAAGAACCUUACCAGGGUUUGACAUCCUGCGAAUCCCUUGGAAACGAGGGAGUGCCUUCGGGAGCGCAGUGACAGGUAGUGCAUGGCUGUCGUCAGCUCGUGUCGUGAGAUGUUGGGUUAAGUCCCGCAACGAGCGCAACCCACGUUUUUAGUUGCCAGCAUUUAGUUGGGCACUCUAGAAAGACUGCCGGUGAUAAACCGGAGGAAGGUGUGGAUGACGUCAAGUCAUCAUGCCCCUUACAUCCUGGGCUACACACGUACUACAAUGCUACGGACAAAGGGCAGCAAACUCGCGAGAGCUAGCAAAUCCCAUAAACCGUGGCUCAGUUCAGAUCGUAGGCUGCAACUCGCCUACGUGAAGGCGGAAUCGCUAGUAAUCGCAGGUCAGCAUACUGCGGUGAAUACGUUCCCGGGCCUUGUACACACCGCCCGUCACACCAUGGAAGUUGGCCACGCCCGAAGUCGUUACUCCAACCCUUGUGGAGGAGGACGCCGAAGGUGGGGCUGAUGACUGGGGUGAAGUCGUAACAAGGUAACC
This 1445-nucleotide ribosomal RNA is filed under the name uncultured cyanobacterium. Its description in RNAcentral is "bacterial SSU rRNA". It matches the Rfam family "Bacterial small subunit ribosomal RNA". The record is from RNAcentral. Lineage: Bacteria; Bacillati; Cyanobacteriota.